GAUGAAGAACGUAGCGAAAUGCGAUAAGUAAUGUGAAUUGCAGAAUUCAGUGAAUCAUCGAGUCUUUGAACGCACAUUGCGCCCCCUGGUAUUCCGGGGGGCAUGCCUGUCCGAGCGUCAUUGCUGCCCUCAAGCACGGCUUGUGUGUUGGGCCCCCGUCCCCGGUUUCCCCCGGGGACGGGCCCGAAAGGCAGCGGCGGCACCGCGUCCGGUCCUCGAGCGUAUGGGGCUUUGUCACCCGCUCUGUAGGCCCGGCCGGCGCCAGCCGACACCCAACUUUAUUUCUAAGGUUGACCUCGGAUCAGGUAGGGAUACCCGCUGAACUUAAGCAUAUUAAUAAGCGGAGGA
RNAcentral lists this unclassified non-coding RNA (348 nucleotides) under soil metagenome. RNAcentral describes it as "partial contains 5.8S ribosomal RNA, internal transcribed spacer 2, and large subunit ribosomal RNA". The stretch from base 1 to 120 matches the Rfam family "5.8S ribosomal RNA", at positions 35 to 154 of the family's 154-position model. The record is from RNAcentral.